Molecule: long non-coding RNA, 451 nt
Organism: Tachyglossus aculeatus (Australian echidna)
Lineage: Eukaryota; Metazoa; Chordata; Mammalia; Monotremata; Tachyglossidae
Exons: 3
Source: RefSeq, a predicted model, not a curated record
GGGGGUCGGUCCCCCGGUCCCCCUCCCGGCCUCGUUACCCGUCAGCCGGGCGAAUCCGGCGAUGCUCUCGGGCACCGGGAGCCGCUUGAGGUGACACCGUGACCUAAUGAAAGGCCCCACUGCAUGAAAGUACAGAAAGAGAAAGUUUCUUACCAAAGGAAAAGUGGAGUUGUGAUCAAACGGCUCGUGGUUAAUCCGCCAGGAAAAUGGUUUAUCUACGCAUGAAAUAUUCAUCGCAUUUGUUGGGCAUCUUGCGCACAGCAGUGCGCUCUCAGAGGAGAUUCGAGAGGGAUUAAGGCAUCUCCCGCUCGAUCUCAUCAUCUCUAACCGCUGCACGAUCUCUAGCCUCACCAACUCCGAAAUCCCUCUCUCAGAUCACAACCCCUCUCACCGGUCUCCCCUUCACAACAUCGCUAAGAUCCGCCUUUUCCUCUCCAUCCAAACCGCUAAU